CAAGUAAGGUUCUAGCGUUCACAUUUUAUAAGCUUCUCCUUGGUUCUAGCGUUCACAUAAAUAAAGAGACAAACAUGUAUGAUUUAUAACUCAAAAUUUACCAACCCAACUGAUUCAGCAUGUUUAGUCCUUUAAUCUUUGUUCCUAGUACUACCUCCAUGAUCCCACACUCCUAAUCAUAUGAGCUAAAAUGUUACACAUUCAAUCUUUGGAGGAUAUAAAGAAAAAGACAUAAAUAUAGAUAGAUUAUAUUUCCAUAAGGUUGAGCGAUCUGAUCUGACAAAUGUUUUAAAUGCUACACUCAUAAUCUUUUUAUCCAUCAACUUUGUCUUGCUCACUAUGCUUAAGGUUAGAGAAGAACAAAUACACUUUUGGUUCUGUUGGUGUUUUUCACCAACAGGGCCCAUGCACUUGAUUUCUUCCUUGUCUCUAUGAGCAGGUACACUUGGAGCAAAACAUAGUGGAGUUUUACAACUCUCAGAUUCCACUAAGUGAAGGACCUGGAUCUACGAGCACAAACACACUAAGCAGGAUACUGCCAACACCACACUUUGAACUACUGGGCAAACGAAGAACAUGAGUGACACCGUAUUAAGAGGUGCAGACGUCAAGGUCCACACCUGAAUCAAAUGACGCACCUGAAGAAUGAACACGGUGAGAAGUCUUGUUCAGAAGACUUAAAACAUUGAACCCUCGCCGAAAGGUAAAAUCGGUAGUUAUCCAUAUUUAUCCUUUUUGCAUUCCCUUUUCCCUUUAAUUACUUACUUUCCUUAAAUAGCUUAUUAGUUAAUCAUGCUAUCUUGAAAAGAAAAUAAAAAUGUUAAAAAUACUAAGCCCCAUGUGAGUAUGCUCGUGGCAUAAAACCCAUAAGUACAUUCACUGUGGUGGCGUAAAAAUAAAAUAAAUAUAUUCCUGUCCUAUAGAAAUUAAAAUAUAAAAAUAAAUUUAUGAUCCUACCAAAGAGAGUAAUAUUUAUUAGAGGAAGCUCAACAUGACAAAGGCAAAGAGAUUUUAUGCUAACAGUUCCACAAAGCUUCGUUGUCUAUUUGAGCUCCGCAGAAUUCAAGGAUCAAAGAAGACUAGGAGACGGAGGACAUCCUAAUCGCUGUCAGAGUGCUGCCGACAUUCAAAUACACCUCCGCCACUAGUUAACUACAUCAGAAGAAAUUACGUCAAAAUCCAGCUUGGGGGAGAGCACCCCCAUUUAUCCAGCUAAGUGUUUCUACGCAUGUUUAUACUUUACUCAAAUAAUAAAAAAAUGCAUAAUCAUAAAAAACCCAAAUAAAGGUUUUAUGCUUAUAUAUAUAUCUUUGCUUAGUUUGCUAAAUAAAUAAAUAAAGUUUGCUACGAACCCUCAUGAUAAGCUCUCACAUGGAAAUGAUGAAUAGUUGCUCUGCCAUGACUAGUCCUCAAAAUUGAAUUCUCUCUCAAGUUUAGGCAUGAUUGCUAUGAAUUAAGAUUUGCUCUAAACCUAAACUUGUGGGAAGAGUACUUGAUCUAAAGUCUAAGUCGUUAACGGAUAUGAUAUGGGAAGGUUGAGCUGCUGUUUAUCUGUUCCUAGAGAUGCUAGAAUUCUGGAGAAUUUUAUCUUUAAAUCUUUAAAAUAUUGCAUGAUGAGUUCCUGUAUGAUGAGAGUUUAAAUUCCUACCACAGCUAUAUAUACAUGCUUGCUAGACUUUGAGCCACACAUUUACUUUACUACUUAUGAGCAUUGAUUGUGGUCAAGCUGUGUAGACCCUUAGGAGCUUGUCAUGUGGUUAAAAUCAAGAUUCACUUGCACGUUCACUCAUACAUGCUACUUCUACUAUGGAAGUACGCAUCCACAUACAUCCACUCAUUUCCAUCUCCAGAUUCACCCAAAAUUAUUCUACUCCUAUCCAAGAGAGAAUAGCCAAAAAGAUUAUCCUAUCCCUGUUAUUCCCCGUGAAAUAAAUGCUCCAGAUAUUUUGGUUACUACCACUUGCUAUAUUAUUCUAGGAGGGUGAGUGCUCUGAAAAAAAAGAAGAAAAAAAUACGAGGAAAUAAAAAGAGGCAAGUGCCCGGAACCUCGAAGAAAAGAAAAAGUGAGACGACAGAUAAAAAUAGACAAGUGUCCGACAGUAGAAUUAGGGGUACAAGAUAGCCACCUGAGAGAAAAGAAAAAGAAAAUAUAGAGCAUCUCAUUCCUCUCAAAAACCUUCAAAGUGCAAGAAACGUAUGUAUCCCCUCAAAAGAGCAAAAGUAGAAUUAGACUUCCACCAUUGUUACCACCAUACACCAUUCAUUCGCCACACAUGCACAUCUUGAUUUGACUUAUUGACUUGUUUCUCUGGAUCCAUAGUCUGACUAUGCAAUAAAUGUCUUGUAAGUAUGUAUUAGCUGUCUCCCACCUAUGAGCUCCAGAUAUCAAAAUCUUUUUAGAGUAAGGUGAGAGAGAAGGCAAUAUCACUAUGCCUCAUACCCAAAAUACCACAUACUUUGAAAGAAGGCAUAUACCAUUACUGGCUUGGAAAGGAUCCAGAAAUACCACAAAAGAGAGAUUUGAGAGAAUCAUACAAGGAAUCUUUGAGUUUUAUUUGAAAACCUGCAAAAACUCCAGAGCUAUAGUUGAUCAAAGAACAAGAGACAUGGUGCUUGACUUGACCGUUCUAUCUUUUAACUGCUCAAGACACAAGUGACGGUUGCAAGCCCCAUGGUGGAAGGUAAUAUGAGUAAGUUUAAAUCUUAACAGUUUACCUUAACCUAGAAAUGAGAUCUUGUUUGAACGCAUGUAUACCUUUAAGGCAUGAAACCACUGCAGAAACUCUUGAGUCCAUCCUUGCUCAGAGACGAGCCAGAGGUAAGCUUGGGGGAGUUGUUGACGGUCCUUAAGUACCAAAUAUAAGCUUGUUUCUCUGUGUGCGUAUAAAUACCAUAGUACACUCUAGUGCCAUGCUGGGGAUGACAAACUAGUAUUCAAGUGGUGAUAGCAAGUGUCAACAGGUAGCAGAAUAGAGAGGAUAACUAUGGUUUCUCUACUUCAAAGGGGUAUGUCUAUGUCUGGGACGAACCAUGUGAUAAGAAUACACUACAAAUGAUGCUUAUCCAUAGGCCAAUAAACCCUACCCGUCCUGCUAACAAGAGGUGGACUACAGGGGACCAACGUAACUGUCACCUACGCGGCCUACCACACGAUCCAGCUAGAUAGGAGAUAUCCACAAGUAAUCUAGGUCUAAGCACCACGCUUACACCUAUACUACAACUCUAACCUAUAGGGUCCUAUAGAUUAGAAGUACUCAAAAGAGUUGUGAACCAGAACAUACAUGAUUAGUAAUUGCAUAAUGAAUUAGAAGUAGAUUACCAGAGUCAUCCCAUGAGCAAGCUUGAUUAGAGCUUGAUCAUGACGAAGUACAACCGGAGGAAGAACUGACAUGUCGGCCUCUCCUCUAAUCCUCAUUCGCUCUCCAUCUGGCUACUAUCUAGAUCUACUCUAGUUUAGAGAUGAGAGGAGAGCUCUCAUCUCCAAACCCUAGCUUUUGCUCUAUCUAUGAAUAAUGAAUAAUGAUCAAGGGGUGCCUCCUCCAGGGGCCAGGGAGUCUGGUUAUAUAGUCCCCUCAAGUGAAUCUAGGCCGUCGGAUCAAACCGACAUUGAUUGAACAGUUAUCCUUGAUCCUUUAGGUCGGUGGAGAUUGAUCCCAAAAGAGAGUCCUAUUUGGACUCCAGGAGGGGGCGGGCGCCCAAGUCAACUGGGCGGGCACCAGGGCCUGGCUCCGUUCGGCCUCCGCUUCCUUCCCGUGGCUUCUGGAGUCUUCUAGAUGUAAGAUAAUUGCGCGGCACGUUGAUAUCUCUAUAUAAUCCCGACGUGUGGGACUUUCUUCCUUAUUUCCUGAUAACCCCCUGUAGAAAUAGACAAACACCAAAACUCAUGGAAUUCUGUCAGAUAAAACCCUAAGUUUAGAUGUUGGUUGUAUUUGGAUCCUUUUCUUUGUUUAUUUGCUGAUUAUAUUUGGUACUUAAGGACCGUCAACAGAGAUGAGCACUAGCAUCUUCGUGCGCCUUCCCACAGAACUGGUUGGAUUGCACCAUGUUGAUAAGUCCAGGCUUGAGCUCAAAGUUGCAUCUUCGUGCGGAUGUUGUCCGUAGUGGGAGGUGAGAACUCAUGGAUCGAUUUGUUCGCCAUAGCUUCGAACUCUGAAGACAAGUUCCGGUGAUCUUCUUGAUUGGAUGAAGCUUCUUGCUGAAGUGUUGAUGAUCUCUUCUUGAGCUUGGUUCUUGUUUUUCUGAAUAACGCUUCGGGAUUGUCAACAAAAUUUCCUAGAAGAUGUCUUCUAUUCAUACAUUCCCCUUCAUAAGAUAAAAAUAGAAAAAUAUUGGGGUAAAACUAUAUGAGAGAAUAGAUAAGCUCAAUCACAUUAGUGAUGCUAAUGAUAACUCAAAAUCCAUAUCCAUUCCUGAUUAGUAAUCAACCUUCCUCGGCAACGGUGCCAAAAAUGCUUGUUGGGUAUUCUUAACAUCAUUACCAAAAGUAGACUUAGUUUUCUAAUUCUGAUAACGGUGCCAAAAAUGCCAAACCUAUCUCUCAUACCACUUAAGCCAAGUUGUCAUCCCCAGCAUGACAUGAGAGACGCGGUUUUGAAAUAUGCAAUUGCUCUUCUAAAUAAAUAAUGAAUGGGAUCUGCAAGCGCACAGAUUAAUACCGAUGUAGCAUUUUAACCGGGAAGUAUUCCAGGUAUCGUUAUUUAUAUUUUUACCACUGGGAAGGGAUUAGCAAUCAUCAAUUCUGAUUACAGAAUAGAAUAUGAGAUUGAGUAUCUAUCAUUGCAUGUAUAAUUGAGAACAUUUAUCUAACUCUUUCAUACAGGGAUAAGUGUCACAUAAAAGAUAUAUGAAGUAAUGAAUAGUGACAAAGAUAAUUAAUCUGAUCAGUAUAACUUAGCCACAUAUAAAUAUGAUAAGCACCUCAAUUAGAUACUCUAGAAAGUCAUUAGCAUGGUAUUAGAACGAACUACAAGAAUAUUUCCUAAGUUAUUCUCAACUAUAUAGUCUAGCAUUAUCAUAGUUAGUGCAAGCAUACUUAGCAAUCAUUGCGAGAGAAGACUACGCCCAUGCAUAGUGAUAUUAGCAAGGUAAAUGAGAAACAUAGCAAUCACUCCCCUGUAAUAAUGUUGCUCUGCCAGCCCAAUACACGAGAGGGGGACUAUAUAAGAAUCAAUGAAGCUGUCACUAUCACGAACUACCCCACGAUCUGGCAUAUUGGGUACAAUCGCAGAUAAAUACGGUAUAAGCACCACGCCUACACAAUAUCUAUCAUUUACCCAUGGAUCCGAUGAAUAAACGCUAUACGAUCCUAAACAUGUAUAUAGAUCCAAUCUAACUAAGCCAAGUAUAUAACUAUGAUAAACUAAGAACAAUAUAAUCUUGAAUAUAAACAAGUAGAGCAAAGUUAUAAGCAAUAUAUUGAAGUAGAACAAAGUCAUAUUCAUAAUAUUAAAGAACAAAGAUGAUUAGAAGAACAAUUAGAAGAACAAUUAGAGAAUUACCAAGAAUCCUCUUGACAGAUCCGGAAACUAAUCGAAGAUUGACUCCUUCUAGUUCUAAUCCUAUGUAGCUAUGCUAAUCUAGAUAUCUAAUUGAUGUGGUGGCUCUAAUCUUGAUCAGAGGCUUCUUCUCCCUUGAGAAUAAUAAAUUAGGGUUGAGAGGCUCUCUCCUCCAGGGGCCAGGGGGUCUAGUUUUAUAGUCUAUUCAAGUGAAUAUGGGCCGUUGGAUCAAAGCGACAUUGAUUGAAUGGUUAUCCUUGAUCCUUUAGGUCGGUGGUGAUCUUUCCCGAAAGAGUGUCCUGAUUGGAGUCCAACAGGGGGCGGGCGCCCAGGUCAACUUGGCGGGCGCCCAGUGCGUGGCUCCGUUCGGCCUCCGCUUCCUUUCCGUGGCUUCUGGAGUCUUGUAGAUGUAAGAUAAUUGCGCGGCACAUUGAUAUCUCUAUGUAAUCCCGACAUGUGGGCCUUUCUUCCAUAUUUCCUGAUAACCCCCUGCAGAAAUAGACAAACACAAAAACUCGUGGAAUUCUGUCAGAUAAAACCCUAAGUCUAGAUGUUGAUUUCAUUUGGAUCCUUUUCUUUGUUUAUUUGAUAAUUAAAUUUGAUACUUAAGGACCGUUAACAAGAGGCUCUCUCCUCCAGGGGCCAGGGGGUCUGGUUUUAUAGUCCCUUCAAGUCAAUAUGGGCCGUUGGAUUAAACCGACAUUGAUUGAAUGGUUAUCCUUGAUCCUUUAGGUCGGUGGAGAUCUUUCCCGAAAGAGAGUCUUCUUUGGACUCCAGCAGGGGGCGGGCGCCCAGGUCAACUAGGCGGGCGCCCAGUGCCUGGCCCCGUUCGGCCUCCGCUUCCUUCACGUGGCUUCUGGAGUCUUCUAGAUGUAAGAUAAUUGCGCGGCACGUUGAUAUCUCUAUGUAAUCCCGACGUGUGGGUCUUUCUUCCAUAUUUCCUGAUAACCCUGCAGAAAUAGACAAACACCAAAACUCAUGGAAUUCUGUCAGAUAAAACCCUAAGUCUAGAUGUUGAUUUCAUUUGGAUCCUUUUCUUUGUUUAUUUGUUAAUUAAAUUUGAUACUUAAGGACCGUCAACAAACUCCCCCAAGCUUACCUCUUGCUCGUCCCUGAGCAAGGAUAAUCUCAGCGAUGGAUCAGAAGUUGCUGCAAUACUUUUUAAAAUUGACGGUACACAUGCUUUUAAAUAAGAUCUCAUCUCUGAGUUAGAGUAAACUGUCAAGACUUAAAACUUACUUACUUACUUUUCACCAUGGGACUUGUAACCGUCACUUCUGUCUUGAGUAAUUAAAAGAUAGAACGAUCUAGCUAAGUGCCAUGUCUCUUAUUCUUGAUCAGCUAUAGCUCAUGGAGUUUUUGCAGAUUUUCAAAUAAAACUCAGAGAUUCCUUUGUAUGACUCUCUUAGAUCUCUCCUUUGUGGUAUUUCUGGAUCCUUACCAAGGCGGUGAUGGUAUAUACCUUCUGUCAAAAUAUGUAGUAUUUAUGGUAUAAAGCAUAGUGACAUUGUCUUCUCUCUCACCCUACUCUAAUAAGGCUUUUAAUAUCUGGAGCUCAUAGGUGGGAGAUAAAAUAUACAUACUUACAAGACAUAUAUUGUAUAGUCAAACCAUGGAUCCAAAGAAACAAAUCAAUAAGUCAAAUCAAGAUGUGCAUGUGUGGCGAAUGAAUGGUGUAUGGUGAUGAUGGUGAUAACAAUGGUGAAAGUCUAAUUCUACUUUUGGUCUUUGAGGGGAUACAUACCUUCCUUGCUCUCUGAAACUUUGGGGAGAAUGAGAUGCUCUAUAUUUUCUUUUUCUUUCCUCUCAGAUAGGUAUCUUGUACCCCUAAUUCUACUGUCGGACACUUGUCCAUUUUUACAUCUCGUCUCACUUUUUCUUUUCUUUCGAGGUUCCGGGCACUUGCCCCUUUUUAUUUCCUUGUUUCUCUUUUUUCUCUCCUUUUUUUAGAGCACUCAUCUCUUGAUAUAAUAUUGCAAGUGGUAGUAACAAGAUAACUUGAGCAUUUAUUUCACAGGGGAAAAAUAGAAAUAUUUUUGGUUAUUCUCUCCCGGAUUACUAGAAUAUUUUUGGGUGGUUGUGGAGAUGGAAAUGGGUGGAUAUAUGUGGAUGGUACUUCCGGAGUAGAAGUAGCAUAUGUGAGUGAACGUGCAACUGAAUCUUGAUUUAACCACAUGACAAGCUCCUAAGGGUCUACACAGCUUGACCACACUCAAUGCUCAUAAGCAGUAAAAAGUAAAUGUGUGGCUCAAAGUCUAGCAAGCAUGUAUAUAUGGCUGUGGUAGGAAUUUAAACUCUCAUCAUACAGGAACUCAUCAUGCAAUAUUUUAAAGAUUUUCAAAGAUAAAAUUCUGUACAAUUCUAGCAUCUCUAGGAACAGAUAAACAGUAGCUCAACCUUCCCAUAUCAUAUCCGUUAACAACUUAGACUUCAGAUCAAGUUUUCUUCCUAGGUUUAGAGCAAGCUUUAAAUUAUAACAGUUAUGUCUAAACUUGAGAGAGAACUACAAAUUUUAAAAUUAGGUAGAGCAACUAUUCAUCAUAUCCAUGCUAGAGUUUUAUUAUUAAGAUUCAGAUUAGCAUAGCCACUUUAUUUAUUUAUUUAACAACCUAAGCAAAAGAUAUAUAUAUAAGCACAAAAAUUUUUAUUUGGUUUUUCAUAGUUAUGUAUAUCUAUAUUUUAAUAUAGUAUAAGUAUAAAGAUAGAUUGAAAUACUUACCAGGAUAAAUGGGGGUGCUCUUCCCCAAGCUGAAUUUUGACGUAAUUUCUCUUUAUGUAGCUAGCAGGUGGCAGAGGCGUAUUUGAAAGUCAGCAGCAUUCUGACAGCGAUUAGAAUGUCCUCCGUCUGCUAGUCUUCUUGAUUCUUGAAUUCUGUGGAGCUCAAAUAGACAACAAAGCUUCGUGGAACUAAUUAAGUGUUAGCAUAAAUAUCUAGCCUUCAUCAUGUUGAGACUCCUCAAUAAAUGUUACUCUCUAUCUUUAUAUUUUCAUUUUAUAAAGCAGAAAAAUAUUUAUUUUAUUUUUAUGCCACCACAGUGAAUGUACUUAUGGGUUUUAUGCCACUCGUAUACUCACAUGGGGCUUACUGUUUUUUAAUAUUUUUAUUUUUUUAGGAUAGUAUGAACAUAAUUAACUAAGUAAACUAUUUUAAAAUAAUUGAAAGGAAAGGAUAACUACCAAGUUUACCUCUUGGCAAGGCGUUCGGUGUUUUUAAGUCCUCUGAACGAUAGUCUCCAUUUUCUCUAUUGUCCUGGGAUUCCUUGGGUGGCGUAGUCGGUACUUCUGGCAGUGCCUCCUCUUCAUGUAUAGUUAUCUUCUCUUUCCACACCUGACUCAGUGCUACGGUCUCCUCUAGAUAAUUCUGUUUAAACUGUAUGUCUUCUGACCUUACAACUUCUCCUUCAUAGUCUGCCCAUCCGUCCUUGAUGAUUUACCUUCUCUGGUUGCGGUUGCGUCGUUUUCUGACCUGCUUAGAGUCUUCAACGAUAUAGUUAGGGUCAGUAAAACAGCAGCGUACCUUCUCCGAGGGGAAGUGCAUAUGGACUUCUCCAGUUCCAAUGUAGAUGAUUGCUUUAACGGUGCUGAGGAACGGUCUUCCAAGGAUGAUGGGUGGAUCAUACUCAUCUUCUCCCAUGUUAAUAACCUGAAAGUCUGUGUAGACAAAAUGAUCGUCUAUUUUGACAGGGACAUCAGUUACUAUUCCUUUAACCUCUCGAAAUGUUUGAUCUGCCAUCUGUAGCUGAAUGUAUGUUGGUUUUAGGGGCAUGGCUCCGAACAAGAGCCGAUAGGUGACUGCGGCCAUUAUGUUGACGCCCGAUCCGGUGUCACAAGUCGUCUUGUAGAAGUUGUAUCCAUUUAUGGAGCAAUAGAUGCUUGGCAUUCCUGGGUCGUCCUUCUUGGUCAGACACGGUGACUUAAGUUGAUGAUCUUGACCUCCUUGAACUGCAGUGACCAUCUUAGCUGACUCGGUCCAUACUUGCUUGUUCCUAUUCCUCCUGUUGGUCCUCUUCCUUGAUUCAUGUCUGGAUUGAUCUGGGAUUUGUGUAGUCUUGUUCUUGAAGGAAAACGUCUCCUUCCUCCCUUUGAUGUAGAAACUGAUCUUGGCAACACUAGCGUAGAUGACAGCUCUCGAGGUGUUCAAGAAUGACCUCCCUAAGAUGAUGGGUGCUCUCUCAUCAUUACCGGUCUCUAUCACCACAAAAUCUGCUAGGGCAUACAAGGUACCAACUCGGACACAAAGGUUCAUUAAUAUUCCUUUUGGAAAACUUAUCGCCUGAUCUGCAAACUGCAAACACAUGGUUGUCUCUAAUAAAGGAUAUGUAAAGAAUUUUUCAUAGAGUACCCUGGGUAUAAUGUUGACGCUGGAGCCAAAGUCACAGAGUGCUUCUGGGACGUCCACCAUGCCGAUGGAAAUUGGGAUGACGGGGCGUCCUGGAUCGCCUCUCUUGACCGGCAGAAGGUCAGUAGUAACUUCAGUGACGGGGUUACUCCAGUAGUUACCUGCAUUAAACAUGUCUACAAGAUUUGCAGAUUCUAAUCCUUCCGGUUGUGAUGGUAUACCAGGGUUAGUAGUAGGAACAGCAGCAGCUAUUUGAUUUAACUGAAAUUCAAUAAUUUUAUUAAAGCUAAUUUGAUUCAUGAUGGCAGUAGAGAAAUUAUUUAUUCUGUUGUUUAUAUUUUCUAACAUUUUAUCAUUAGAUGCCAAUUUCUUAGAUAGGUUAUCCAUUAGCUUUCCUUGAUUAGACACUAACUCUCUCAGAGGUGGAAAAUUAUUGUUAUUGUUGUAAGAAUUGUUACCUUGAUAAUUACCUGAGUAGUUAGGCCUCUAUUGAUUCCAACCUUGAUUUUGUUGAGGACGGUUGUAGUAGUUGUUGCUAUUAUUGUUGAUGUAGUUCACAUCCUCAAGUAUCUCAGGGCAGUGAUUGCCUGAGUGUCCAGUAUCUCCACAUUCCUCACAAGUCAUGUGAGAGUCGUAGAUGUGCAUAACUUCCUUCUUAUCUUCAGCUCUAUCAUCAAGCUUCUUCAUGAGCAGGUCUAGCUAUGCAGACAGCAUGUCUACCUCCUUGAGCUGAUGCAUACCUCCACCUCUCUUGCGUGUGUGGGUCCUCUCUUCAUUCCAGCUUUGGUUGGACGCCAUCUUCUCCACAAGAGCUGUGGCUUGUGGUAUGGUGAGUGAUAAGAAUGCUCCUCCAGCUGCAGCAUCCAUGGUUUUUCGGGCACUGUUGCCGAGCCCAUGAUAAAACGUCUGCAUCAGUAGCAAACUCUCCAUUCCAUGAUGGGGACAUUCUAGGAUGUAGUCUUGGAAGCGCUCCCAUGCUUCUGGAACGGAUUCAUCAUGUUGUUGCUAAAAACUUAUAAUCUUCCCACGGAGAGCAUUGGUCUUGCCCAUGGGAAAGAACUUAGCCAGAAAGUUUGUUGAGCAGAGUGCCCACGUAGUAUUCUUCUCCUUUGUAGCAUAGAACCGCUGCUUUGCUCUCCCCAACAGUGAGAAUGGGAAGAGGCGAAGUAGUAUAGCAUCUCUGGGGACUCCUGAUAUGGUGAAUGUGUUGCAAAUCUCCACGAAGUGUUAGAGAUGAGCACUAGCAUCUUCGUGUGCCUUCCCACAGAACUGGUUGGAUUGCACUAUGUUGAUAAGUCCAGGCUUGAGCUUAAAGUUGCCAUCGAUCUCUGCAGUAUAUUGAAGUAAAACAAAGUCAUAUUCAUAAUAUUAAAGAACAAAGAUGAUUAGAGAACAAUUAGAAGAACAAUUAGAGAAUUACCAAGAAUCCUCUUGACAGAUCCGGAAACCAAUCAAAGAUUGACUCCUUCUAGUUCUAAUCCUAUGUAGCUAUGCUAAUCUAGAUGUCUAAUUGAUGUGGUGGCUCUAGGCUUGAUCAGAGGCUUCUUCUCCCUUCAGGAAUAUUGAAUUAGGGUUGAGAGGCUCUCUCCUCCAGGGGUCAGGGGGUCUGGUUUUAUAGUCCCUUCAAGUGAAUAUGGGUCGUUGGAUCAAACCGACAUUGAUUGAACGGUUAUCCUUGAUCGUUUAGGUCGGUGGAGAUCUUUCCCGAAAGAGAGUCCUGUUUGGACUCCAGGAGGGGGCGGGCGCCCAGGUCAACUGGGCGGGCCCCCAGUGCCUGGCCCCGUUCGGCCUCCGCUUCCAUCCCGUGGCUUCUGGAGUCUUCUAGAUAUAAGAUAAUUGCGCGGCACGUUGAUAUCUCUAUGUAAUCCCGACGUGUGGGCCUUUCUUCCAUAUUUCCUCAUAACCCCCUGUAGAAAUAUAUAAACACCAAAACUCGUGGAAUUCUGUCAGAUAAAACCUUAAGUCUAGAUGUUGAUUUCAUUUGGAUCCUUUUCUUUGUUUAUUUGUUUAUUAAAUUUGAUACUUAAGGACCGUCAUCAGCCCCCAAGGGACGCGAGGUUGGCAGAGGAGUAGCUGCCCCCUGCACGCAGGCCGAUCCGCUGCUCAUGGUUAACAAGUUGGGUGAACAACUCGUGCACCGAGAGCGGCUCGACGCGCAGGGAAACAGCGGACACGACCGGGUCGAAUGGUUUAUCCAACCCAGUCAGAAUGUAUGAGAUCAGGUCGUCAUCGUCGAGCUUCUUUCCCGCAGCCGCCAUCUCAUCGGCGAGAGCCUUCGUUUUACCGAAGUAUUCAGUGAUUGUAGACGUUCCUCUGGACGCAUUGGCCAGAGCCAUGCGCGUGGCGAUGACUCGCGCCCGUGAUUAGGCUGCAUGGAGCCCUUGGAUGGCAGCCCAUGCGCCGGCCGCCGUUGUCUCAGAAUUCACUUAACCGAAAAUUUCUUUAGAGAGGCCACUCAACAGGUAGCUGAGAACCUGCUGAUCUUGAGCCUUCCAGACAGCGUAGUCUGGAUUUGGUGUAGAUUCAUCCUUGCCCUCGGCAUUUUUUUUUUGUGAUGGUUGGGGGUGGAGGUGUGGUGUUUGGGUUGGAGAUGAGCAGCCUGAGCGCCAUUGAUGGCUGGGGUGACCUGGGCUUUCCAGGAUUGGUAGUUGUGGCGGGUUAGUUUCUCGGAGAUGGGGAUGAAUGCUAGGCCGAGGGAGAUAGCAGUCGGAAGCGAGGAUGAGGAGAAAGCCAUGGAGGAUCGAAGGAAAGUUCCGUAGGGAUUGUUUUAGGCUGAUACCAUGUAAAAUGAUAUGCGGUAACGAGUUAGCCUUUGUGGCAUCACUCGGUUGCAUGUUUAUACUGGAUGAGGAAUAGCCCCCCACCGGUGGCUCUUACAUGUGUCAGUUGUACAACAAGUUUAGGAUGGACCAAUGCUUGGUCGUUACAUGCACCUGAAUACACUCUAACACCACAUGCUAACAUUGAGUCAUUCUAACCACACGUUAACAUAUGAAUCAUUCUAACACAUGCACCUGGAUACACUCUAACACCACAUGCUAACAUUGAAUCAUUCUAACCACGCGUUAACACAUGAAUCAUUCUAACAUCGUCAAAAACUUCAACUACCAGCAACAGACUGCGUGCGUGUCAUGGAUGACGGCGGCGGGCGCUAGCGCUACUAUGGCAACAGCAUCGGAGUCGGAAUCAUCGGAUACCGUCGUCAGCGCCUACGACCUGCGCCGGAGCCACCACGAUUUCUUCUACGGAUAUUUGGUAGUUCGACGCCUGCCGCGAUCAGACGUCGUGGUGCAAUUGCAAGAGACGACGGCGGCCAAGGCUUCUUUCACCUGAACUCCUACCACUACCAAUGAUCUUUCAUGGGUCGGCCAUAUUGUUGAUCUUUGCGAAAUGCACAAUACAUCCAGAGGUCAAGUGGGGUGACGGCAGCACGUCAAAGGUACGCACACGUACUGUACGAAUUCGAUGACCAUACUGACAACGAUGACUCUUGUUGACCAACAACUACUACUAUCCAUGCAUGAUGCAUGUUGCAUGCAGGUGUUGCUUCAUGAGAUAGCUCUCGUAAAACCACGAAAGCGUUGGUGACAUGCUCCACGAGAUAGGCGAUUGGGUGGACGAGGAUGACGCCUUUGACAAUUCUCACCCCGACACGCGCUCGAGAACCGCGGCAGGCUGCCGGGGGCUCUUGGGGUCCGGUCGGACCGAAUUCUGGGUCCCGCAAUUUUCCCACCGAGUUUGGAGACUGUUUCUCGUUGAGCCGUAUGGUGUCAUCCACUCUGAAUUAUUAAGCUGAGCCCGCUAGAACUGUUCUUCAACUUUUCGCGUGUGUGGAGAGUUGAUGCUGCCACCUGACACACAGUCCACCUCAAUCAACAGCCUAGCUCACUGCUGACACCUGACGCACAAUCCACCUCACUCAACAGCUUAGAGCAACCUCAAUGUAUAUGGACCAAGUAGUCCAUAUACAUGGGGCCUACAUAAGUAGUCCAUAGCUAUUAUUAUUUGCUCACAAUAUUCAGCCAACAAAGUAGUCUAUAAGAUGGGGUCCACUAGAGAUUAAAAAUUAUUCUUUCCAACCAUCUCAUGUAUCAUGACACAAGAGAGAGAGCAUAGAGAGAAAAAAUAACAUUUCUUUAUUGCUUAUGGGUAGUCCAUAGGGCUAUGGGUACCUUUUGUUAUAGACUGCUAUAUGGACUAUCUCCACAGUGUUUCAGCUAGCUGAUAGAGAAUAUUUUAUUUUCUAUGGACUACUUUGCUACUACAUUGUGGUUGCUCUUAGCUCACGAAUGCACGUAUACUUCCAACAAACUAAAAAAAGUCAUAACUUCAAAACUAAAUAUCCAAAUUAAAUUUCGAUUUCACCAUCAGAUUUCUUAAAAUAAAUCCUUCAAAACAAGAUUCCACAUGAAUAUAUUUAGACAAAAAAUUAUUAACGAGCAUUUCUCUUAUGAAGAUAGAACAUUUUUUAUUGAGUAGGGACAAUGUUGAUUUAAGGAACAUUCCGUCUUCGUAUGAAAAAUAUUCUCGGUUUAGAAAAACAAAAUUUUUCAAACAGUAGACAAUGUUCUAGGUUCAAAAAAUAAUAAUGUUCCGUCUUUAUAAGAAGAAUGUUCUCGGUUUAGGUUCAUAAAAUUAGUAUUGUAAUAUACGUAAAAAUAAAUAAAUAAUACAAAUAGAGAUCAAUGAAAUCCAGAGCAAAGCAUAUGGAAAAAAUAAAAAUACGUAGUAGAGAAAAUUUAAAAGAAUACCAUAUGGAUACUUUUCAAACAUUCUAAAAUAUAUUAUAGGACAUUACAUGCGAACUAAGUGAACAUCACUCAAUAUAAUAUAGAACAUCACAAGAAACAUAAUAGAACAAUACAUCUAUACUACAUGAACAUCACAAAAUACAAUAUAGAGCAUUAUUAUAUAUUAUGUGAACAUCACAUGUAUACUAUGCGAACAUCACAAAAAAAAUAACAAAACAUCACAUCUAUACCACAUGAAUAUAAACAAAAUAUAAUAGAACAUGUAACACAUGAGUAUCACAUAAAAUAUCGUAGAACAUCACAUGUAUACUACAUGAACAUCACAAAACAUGAUAUUAUAAUCAUGUGGAUAUCACAAAAAACAUAGUAGAAUAUCACAUCUAUACUAUAUGAGCAUAGAAAAUAGAAAAAUUAAAUAUAAAACAUAAUUAAGUAAGAUAAAAUCACAAAAAAAAUAUAUGCAGAAAACCUAAUGACAAAAGAGAAAAUAAAAAAUAAAAAAAAUGAAAGGUCACACCAAACAAAAAAUAAGCAAAAAAAUAAAUUGAAAAAAGAAAAUAAGAGAUAAUCAGAAAAUAAUGGAAAAGAAAAGAAAAAUAAGUUGAAGCUAUAAAAAGGAAAUAAGAAAAAAAAAGAAAAAGAAAAGAAACGAAAAGAAAAACAAAAUAAAGAAAAAAAGUACCAAGAAAAUAGAAAAGAAACAAAAACAAAAGAAAAUAAACAGGUAGGAGUGAAAAGUAAAGGAAAUAAAGUAAGAAAAAAGAAGAAAAAGAAAAAGAAAAAGGAAAGAAAAAUAAAAAUAAAAAGAAAAAAAAGAAACAUACCUACUUAACUGAAGAAUCGUCACGUGUGUACGUGAACCACGCCUGCCUGCUCACGUCCGCAUGUGGGAAUCAGGCGGGAAAACACUGCGCGGGAAUCAUCGGACGAGCGCUUCCGUCCGAACGUUCGGACCGGAAGAAUCCCGCAGGCUGCCACGGUAUCUAUACCUUACAUCUCAAUUGUUUCCUAGCUAUCACAUUUUUUUAGAUAAUGGAUAGAUUAUAUCCGCCUUUAUCUAUUAACUGAUAAAAUCAGUCUAUUUAUUACAAAGUAUAAUCCGAGGGCACAUAUAAGGGCUACAAAUAAAACUAGUUUACAGCCAAACAAGUGAAUAACCGAAAUGAAAAUAAAGUUUUAACUAAACAUGACCAAUAUAUCUAGUUGACAACUAUCCAUUGUAACUAAACAACUACAGAGCCGACAUCUCUAGAUGCCAUCCAACUAGGGUUAGCAGAUACUUCCUCUAUUCUAAAUAGUAAAUUAUUCUAACUUUUUUGAGAGUUAAAACAUCUCAAGUUUAACUAAAGUUAUAGAAAAAUUGCAAUAAAUUAUGACAAUAAGUAGGUAUAUAUUAUGAAAGUGUAACUAAUGAAGAAUGUAAUGAUACUCCCUCUAAACUGGUAAUUCCGAUCAUUUUGGACAGAGUCACGGUCUCCAAAGCAUAACUUUGAGUUCUUGUUUUUAUAAAAAAUAUUUAGUGGAAAGUGUUAUAUGUAUAUUUUUAUGAAAGUACUUUUCAAGACAUUUAUUCAUAUGGUUUUCAUAGUCCAAACUUAAGGACUUAAAAAUUAUUUAUGUUUUUGUAAUACCCGAUUUUAAGAACAAUACCAGAUAUACACCAUAUGUGAGUCUUAAAGGCCAAAUCUCACAUAUAGCUACAAGUAAGGGGUAAUAUCAAAAGACAAUGCAUAAAUAUAUAACGUACUUAGUAUAAAAGAGAUAACCUUUAAUAGCAAACAACGGAUAGACAACUCCAAACUUCGGGUAUUAACUUCUCUCUAUAGGAUCCAACGGACUGGUUGAUCACAAGCCUAAACUUCUCGUGAAGGGUGGGGGAAAUAGCAAGAGUGAGUCCAUGUCGAACUCCACAAGUAUAGCAACUAGAUUGUAUAGAUCCCACAAACUCAUGAUCAAUGUGACAUAAAUAAUGUAGAGCAUUAAACAAUAAAUAAUGAGUAUAUUUAACACACAAGAAUCAUCACCGUCGAUGCAAGAAUCUCCAUGGCCGCUCUUGACCGUGAGCACGGCUAGUAUACUAGUUUUUAACACUCUGCAGAGGUUGUACAUCUUUACCCAUGAGUCAUGAUUUACCCUUUCGCCCGAGGUGAUCAGCCUCUUAACCCACUUCCAAGAAAGGUCGGCAGGGAUCACUAUGAAGCCUUUCAAAAGUUCGUCUAACAUGUUAAGGCCGCAAGGUUUCCUUUGCGCGUAGAUAUAGAGCCCCCCUUCCGAUGGCACAAUAACGCGCAGCCUAUACACAUACAGACAGAGGCCACACUAUACCUAAAACGGUUCAGCCCCUCCGCCGUUUCGGGUAACCUCUAACAAGCUAGAAAAGGUCUUCAUACUGAGCUAAAGCCUGAGCCAUUAUAGCCCUCAUAGUUACACUGUUGUCCCGGUUAUCACUUACAGAUAAAUCAUCAAGUUGCUAAAAAGUCAUUUUUAUCAUUUAUUACUUAACAUUAAUCUAGUCACAAGAUCAUGGUCACAGAAUAUAAAACCUAAAUACUAUACUUGCCUUAAUCCAAUUGCUCUUGCUUAUCCUUUUGAUCCUGCUGGUCUCACUUGUCCAAGGCUAUGAUCUUGAUCACCAAAACUGCUUUCCGACUAAACUCGAUCAUCAACACACAACCAACCGGAGAAAACAUACACGAAGCAAACAAGGCUACAAUUAGAACAGUACACCAAUCAUAUAAUAACAGUAUAGAGAGUUCAUAAAAAGAUUCUAUGCAGCGCUACGAUAUCAUAGACGUAAAGAUCAUGAAAAUCAGAGCUAAAACGGAGAAGUUAUGAAUUUUCUAAGGUUUUCUUUAGAAAAAUAAUUAAUUAAUUAGGGUCACGAAAAUAAAAAGUUUCAAACUGAGAAAACAAUGUUACUAACAUGUAUAGCUCAUUAGUACGAAUCCAACGCAAUUUGAAUGGGUCAAAUCAGAGUUAAAAUGAAUAUUUUAUGGCCAAAAGAAAGUCAGUGGCAAUUUUGUAAAUAGUGAAAACGUAUUUUUAAUCGGUUAGCUGUUUGUAUUUUCCAAACUGAAAGAUAAAGUGAUUUGGGCUUACGUUGGUGGAUAGGGAGUAGGUUCACCGGCAGUGACGCUUUCUUGGAGCUACAACAGCGCCGGAGCAGCCGACGGUUCGUAGAUGUCGUGUAUAGGCGAGACGAUGGCGAUCACGUUGUAGAGAAGAAAAUAUAAAUUUUAUUUUACUACCUUAGGAAUUCUCAAAUUAGAGGUUUCCCAUAUGAUAGUCUUUGAUGUGCUUUGCCUAAGGGUUGGUACAUAUAUAUAGGGAGAAAAACUCCCCACCUCCACGUCAACUAGCGAUAUGGUACUAAUUGAUGUUGCAACCUCCAUCUUUACUAAUAGGCCUAAUUAAUUAUUAAAGCCCAUUAGUAAAUAAAGACAUUGACCAUUGAGAUCAUGGGCUUAAGCGUGGGAUAAAAUGAAAGUUUUUAUUAUUUUCGAAAUUAAUUAAUUUGGCGAAUAAAAUAAUCCUAGAAAAGUCCAGAAUUAUGAUUUAAGCCAUGAAAAAUACUCCGAAAGCUUCGAAAAUUCAGGAAAAAUUCUCAGAGAUAUUAUAGAACAUGGGGAACCCGAAUAAAGCUUUUGGAGCUCAUGAGAAGAUUGUUUGGAGCAUCUAAAAAUUAGAUCAUGUUCACAGAAAAGUGAGAACAGAAGGUGAAAAAAAUUCCUGAAAAAAUUGUAGAGAGUGCUUGAUGGACGAGGAACUAAAAGAAGUGCUUUGAGUGACAAAGAAAAUAUUUUAGGAAGAUCCUAAUAAAAAUUUGAGCUUAGAAACAAGGAAUUUGGUUGUAGAUAAAAGAUAAAUACGUGCCGAAUGAAGAUCAAUCUACUAAACGUAUUUUAAAUAUUUUUCUUACUAUGAACACAUAAAGGAGCAACAAGCAUGACAUCAAAACAUAUACACCAGCAUGUAUGCAUAAUAAUAUUGCUAAGCCUUAUGAUAAAUUUUAAUUUAAUGAAAAAUAUUAUUUUUCCUAUAUUUUCAUGAGCACAAAAAUACAAAAUUAAAUAAUUUUAUCUAUAUUUCAAAAGGAGUAAAUUUUAGGGUGUUACAAUUCUAUCCCCCUUAAGAUGAAUCUCGUCCUCGAGAUUUGGAAGACGGUUAUCAAAGAGACGUAGAUUUUGAAUCUUGUUCACUUUCUUGAGUAGUUAUAUCUUCAUAGCUAUGAUUCCACUCUCUUACUUCAAGUAGCCUCUCAAGUAUUCCUAAAAUAUUGACGAGACACCUAGUGUAGUAGGUACGAUUCUUCUUUAAACUUAUUUCUCCUAUCCUUCUUAGACGCUACACAUCAUAUAGUCUUUUAAAUUUGCUGUACCGAGUCUCUUGAUCCAAGGUUAGUUUCAUCACUAAGUUCCAAUUAUUGGUACCUUUAUCACAGUUAAGUUGCUUCACUCUCACACUAUACAUACAACUCUGUAGACUUUGGUGUCAUCUGAUCCUCAUACACAACUCUUAAUCCAUGAGUAUCAGUAAUGACAUAAACCUCCAUUGGUAUUAGCACACUCCAAAUAGAAUGAUAUCUUGAAACAAACCAACAUACCAAGCACUUGAUGUCCUUGUAGAUAUUCCAGUUAUUAACCACUUCUUCUCCUUGUAGUUCUUUAAUUGGGCUACUCCCCUUAAGAAAAGUCAACUAGGGGACCAAGAAAGGUAGCUUGCAUACUUUCCAGACAAGUUAACAUUGGGAACUUCUGACAUCCCAAAGAACUUAUGUGCAGUGGAGCAAACAGGUAUCCUGAAAUUUCCUCGCGAUAUGAAAAACAUCAGCGUAGUAAAAUACAUAUAACUCUUAUUCUGUUAAUUCAAUAGAGUUGUAGCUUAUACCAUCAGAAAGCUUAAGAAUUUCCCUACAACUUUCAUGUAGAAAACCACCUUAAGUUCUGUCUUUAAGCUUAGGUAAAAUGGCCAAACUUAAAUUCCAUCCUGAUAAUGUCUUAGCAAAGGUGCAGUAAAUUCCAGAAAUUAUAUCUCGAGCUACUUAACUCAUCUGGAGAUGAUCCUUACAUUUUUGAAAAGCUUAGGAAAUCCUCUACAACUUUCGUAUACCAUGUUUUCCCAGAUUCUGUCUUUAACUUGGCCGAAAAUAGGGAAUACCAAAACUGUCCAGACUUUGAUACAGAACAGAAAGAUCCAAUUGUAAAUAUCAUAUCUCAGGUUCUACUUAGCCAAAUAAGUUCCAGCUUAUACCGUUGGAAAGCUUAGCAAGUUGUCUAUAACUUUUCUAUAGAACACUUUUUCAAAUUCUAUAGUUAUAUUUGUCUCAAACAGCAAGUUCCCGAAACUGAUCCAGAUUCUGGACAGCACAUCUGUAUCAUCUUGUGAUUUUUGUAACUUCCAAACCAUAAUAGCUAUGAGGGUGAUUCUUGCGGUCAGAGAAAGAUCUUGAAGUUUAGUUGUUUCCACGAAAAGUUGAUAGACUUUGCAUGAUCAAAACUUGAGAUACACCAGCAUUAUUGUAGACUGCUCCAGAAAUCAGCAAGGGAUAGAAAUCGGAUAUAACCAAACCCAACUACUUAUUUCACUACUCCUUAUGCCUUAGGCCUAUAAACUAAAUGAUAUUGUAGAGAAACCCCACAAAAUCAUUGCACUCAUUAUAAAGAUCCAAAUCAAGCAUAAACAUAAUAACAAACCAAACCAAGCAUCAAAGGUACACUCUUCAAGCAUUGACUCAACUUGCGGUACUAUCGUUCUCUUCCUGUUAUGGGUAAAGAUCCUAAAACUUAUGUUUCAAAGACGCAAGAAGGGUAAGAAAAGGUUCUAAUAGCAUACUGAAUCAAGGAGUGAAGGUGAGAACAUGUACUUUUAAAAUAAGCAACAAGGUGGAGACAAAUAGCAAGGAUAGGGAUAUAGUAUGGAUGAAAAUACCAAGGUUUAUAGAGCAAGGAUUUUAUGACAAUUCCAAAACCGUAAGACGACUGAUUUCUAACUAGGCUUGCGUCCUACAGUCAGCAUUGCUCUGAUACCACUUUGUAAUACCCGAUUUUAAGAACAAAACCAGAUAUACACCAUAUGUGAGUUUUAAAGGCCAAAUCUCACAUAUAGCUACAAGUAAGGGGUAAUAUCAAAAGAUAAUGCAUAAAUAUAUAACGUACUUAGUAUAAAAGAGAUAACCUUUAAUAGCAAACAACGGAUAGACAACUCCAAACUUCGAGUAUUAACUUCUCUCUACAGGAUCCAACUGACUGGUUGAUCACAAGCCUAAACUUCUCCUGAAGGGUGGGGGAAAUAGCAAGAGUGAGUCCAUGUCGAACUCCACAAGUACAACAACUAGAUUGUAUAGAUCCCACAAACUCAUGAUCAAUGUGACAUAAGUAAUGUAGAGCAUUAAACAAUCACUACACCACAACACUUUUAUAGCGUCAGACAUCUGACGCAAAAUCUUUUUUUUUGCAGUUAGACGAUCUGACGCUAAACAUCGCCCAGAGACCAUCUGACGCUAAAUCUGAAUUUAGCGUGCUAUUAUCUGACGCUGUAGGUACUUAUAUUCAGAGUCUAGCUAUCUGACGCAAAAACAAGGUACACCGUCCACCUCUCUGACGCAAAAAAUAAUGGGCCCCACCCUCGCUUGCCUGUCCGCGCUUAGUUUUCUCUUUUAGAAACACUAGUACAGAGAAGCUCUAAGCUGGCGGUGGAAUUUAAUUUUUACAAGUGUAAAAAUAAAUUGACGGGCCCAACUCAAAAACUGCCCGUAGAAAUCAUGUAUUUCUUCAUCGUAAUUAAAUACAAGUCAUAUAAGAUUUGUUCCAUGAUAAACUUUUUUAUAUCAAUAUCUAAAAGAAAAAAUAUACAAGACUGACAUUUCUUGUAAAAAUAUUUGUAGCUAGCGAUAGGUAGCAAAGCACGGCAGCAAAGCAAACCACCGUGCCUCUCUCUCUCGUCUCGUCUCUGCGUUGCGCCGCUCCUUAAACAAACGCCAGGAGAAGGCUGCGGCACGCGUCCCCCUCCGUCUCCAGCCUCCACCCAUCUCAAAACCCUAGCAACCGCGCCUCCAUCCCUACCCGAAUCCCAAUCCAAGCCCGAUCCCCCGGCGGCGAGGACCCCUCCGCGCCGAUUCGUCCACGCAGAUCGGCGGGCGGGGGCAGAUUCAGAUUCGGGUUCGCGGUUCGCUCGGGUCGUCUCGCCGGGGUCCACCGCGGCGGUCGGGGAGCUCUUCUGGGCGCCCGCGCCGCUCACCACCAAGUCCUGGGCGGACGUCGAGGACGACGACGACGACGAUUACUUCGCCACCACUGCGCCGCCGCGCCCCGUCUAGGGCACUGCCGACGAGCCCGUCAAGGAGGAGGAGGACGUCGAGGAUGUUGUGCGGGCCGCCGAUUUUGUUGUGGAAUGUGCCUAUGAUGUUCUUAUACCGUCAUAUAGGUUAAUUUGUGUUUGUCUAUUUUCAGAUAAAAAUGAUUGCAGGUUUAUACAAAAACAAAAUGGAUAGCUUCAUUUAUAUUUGCGUACCCAGCCCAAAAUGGUCUCAUGUUUAGCGGAAUGAAAUUUUGGGAUAGUUAUUGUAGGUUUGCCUCUUGACUUUUUCUUUUUUUGCCUAUACAAUCUGCUACUUGCCAGCCUUCUUUUCUGGAUGCCUCUUUUCCAACCUUAUUUAUAUAUAUAGAUGCUAAGGUCUGUGCUCUUUUAUAUCCAUUUUCUUAUUGUUGUAUGAUAAGCUGCAAUUUAAACAUAGCUUCUCCUUUGAUGAUUUGGUCAUUCCAGUCAGAAAAUUUUGGUCUUCUCCUGCAGGUUGUGGUCAUUUAAUGUUACUUUCAUUUUUCAUGUACCUUUUUAAGCCUUCUAUAUCCCCUUUCAAUUUCAGUUUUCAUUUGUUUUCGAAAUGGAAUGACUAUAGUUCUCAUAGAUGCAGCUUUACUCAUUGCUCCAUAUUAUUUCCUCAUUUCUUUUCUUUGUACAGCAAAGAAUAAGGUGAAGAUGGCGGACACAUUUGCUAUACACAGUAGAUCAAUACCUUCUGCUACUACUUGAUGAGAAUCUCCCCUAUUUAACUAGAUUAACAAUUACUUUAGUGUUUUGCCAAAUUCAUCAUGACUUUACUAUGUGGCCUCACCUCCAAUGCUAUUUGCUCAAUCGACGUAGCAUAUGGUAAAUGUUACACUGCAUCCUGUACACAUAAGCCUCGUAUAUUACUAGGUACAAGCAUUACAAAUCUUAUCUACAAAUACACACCUCCAUGCAACCAUGUAGUAAAAAAAUGAGUUUUGGCAAUGUGUUUUUUCCAUUAAUGUCUACAACAAGAAGUACGUACUUCACAUUGAGUAGACUAGCAAUGGGGCUCACAUUGCCAGCUACAAUGAUACAUGCUUCAAUUUGGAUGUCUUCUAGGCUUUAUAGUAUUCAAAGUCUGAAUAUGAAUGAUUCUUUGUGCAUGUACAAACUCAUUUUUCUGCACUACAGAAUUCUUCCAGUCAGAAUGAUGUGCCUAUAACAGUUAGUUGCUUAUGGUUGGUUCCUUUGUUCCUUGCAAGGCUUUCUGUUAAUCGCUAAUUAGGUUUGCACAACUAUCGUGCUGUUGACUGCUAAGGACCGUUUUAGAGGCAGUUCACUUAAGAAAACCGCCUCUGAAUUCUUAGAGCCAGUUCCUUUAAGUGAACCUCCUAUGAAUCUCUAUUUUCAGGAGCAGUUGUCCUUAGUGAGCCGACGAUGAAGAUCCAUGAUUUCCAGAGGUGGUUCACUUAACAGAACUGUACCAACAAAUAAGUUAUCGGAGACGGUUUGCUUAGUCAACCACCCCUGAAAAACUUACUCCAGACUCUUUCUUCUUCCUCGCGACCGAGCGCAACACCUUUCGUUCUUAGCUCUCGACGGCCGAAGAGAAACGGCAAGAGGAGAGGGGGAGGUUUUGGCCUUUCAACUUUCAAACAAGUUGGAAUUGUGGGGUGAGUCUCUUCAGCCAUAAAGCCUAUUGGAAUUUUGCAGAAACAUUAUAUUUGAUUCUACGCCGAGAUCUAUAUAGAGAGGGGGGAGCAAUUUGGGCUCUAAUUUGUUUUUUUAUUUAUUACAAGUAAUUUGGGCAAAAAUUUUUAUUUAGUGACACGAUAUCUUUUCUCAUGCAUGCUAGCUUUUUUUCUUUACAUUUAUAUAGGGUACUAAAUAUGGACCGGUCAUGGAUGUACAAAAAACGAAGAAACAAAGUCACCUACAUACAUGAAUUGAAUGGUUUCAGUGAAGCAGCUAAAAGACAUGCUUUGAUCAAGCAGACAAAGGAUAUAUAUUGACCCUGUUGUGACUAUAGAAACCAAAUAGUGCGCUAGGAUCCAAAUAAAAUAAGGUCACACUUGAUAAGAAGGGGUUUCAUGAAGAACUACGAGAUUUGGGAUCAUUAUGGUGAGAGAAGUACGAAGGCAAGGGCUACACAAGCACCAAGAGUUCGUGGAGUUGACAAUGCCCUUGUUUUCACGAUGCAUGAUGAUGUUAUAAGAGAAGACUUUGAUGGUGGUGGUGGUGGUGGUGGAGAUGACGGUUGUGACGAUGGAGGAGGAUAUGGUGGAGAGGAUGAUGAUGGUGAAGUCAACAACGAAGAAAAAGAGGACUUCCUAGAAGAUAUGCUACUCAAUAUGGAAAAAGAAUUACUAUUGAAAGGGCUAAAAAAAACUUGGAGGGAGUAAAGAAAGCAAUGAAAGAACGCUUAUAUCCGGAGGAACAGGGAUGUGAGAAAAGAUGGUCCUUGCUUUGUUUUUUGCUGGACAUACUGAUUUUGAAGGCUAAGUAUGCAUGGUCCGAUAGGAGCUUCAAUGACCUAUUGACUCUCUGGGCUGUUGUGCUUCCUAAACCAAACUUUGUGCCCACCAACACAUAUCAAGCAAAGAAGCUUAUCAGUCCACCUACAAUGGGUGUGGAACGAUUAUAUGCGCAUCCAAACCAUUGUAUCCUUUAUCGUGGGGUCUUCAAAGACCUAAUGAAUUGUCCGACGUGUGGUGCAAGUUGAUACGAAAGGAACGACAACAGUAUUGAGGAAGACAUGGGUACUAAGUGUAGAAAAAAGAGAAAGAAGUGUGGAAAGAAAGGAGACGCUACUAAGAAUGUUGAAGAAGAAAAUAGCACCCUAGGAGUGCUCACGUGUUCUCUUCUUGCUCCAUGAAGUGAUCUUCAUAUUUCACAAUCUUGCCAGGAAAGUCUUCCCAUCCACGGUGAGGCUGGGCAGCCUGACGGUGGGCUUGGCGUCUUCUCCUAUUGCGUUGCUUCCUGAUCUGCUCAUGGUUAACUAGUGUUCUAAAUUGACAGUGUACCUUUCUGGUAGGUAGGUUGAAGUGGAUAUGUCCGGAACCAAUGUAGAUGUUGGCGUUGGCUGUGUAGAGGAUUGGUCUUCCCAAGAGGAUCGAGGACUCAUCGUCUCCCUGCAUGUCAAAAACUAGAAAAUCUGCAGAUAUAUAUUGUCCUUGAAUUCUUACCAUGACAUCCUUGACCACUCCUUCAGGGAACCUUAGUGACUGAUCCGCCAUCUGCCACUGAAUAUAUGUUGGGUAUAAAGGUAAAUCAAAUAACUCAUCAUAUACCUAUUUUGACAUUAUGUUGCAGCCUAAUCCAGUGUCGCAGACGGCGUGAGCGAAGGUGGUGUCUUUGAUUGUGCAUUCAAUGAUUGGAACUCCUGGAUCAGAUCUCUUGGUUGGAAAUGGCUUGGGUAGCAUAUGAUCAUUCUCUGUGUUGAGAGCAGUGAUCAAUUGAGUUGUCUCCGCAGGUGCAUGCUUGGUCCUCCUCCAUCUUCUAUUGUUUCUAUUAUUCUUGUUCUUCGUCAUUGGUUGCUAUUCUUGCUCUUCUUGUUGAUGAAAUUACUUUGGGGCUGUAGGAGUUUUCAGGACACAGUUCUUGAAUGUGAAUCUCUCUUUCUUGUCCUUGAUGGAUAGGACGAUCUUGGCAUACUCUGCAUAGAUGAUGGCUUUUGUUGUGCACAAGAAUGGUCUGCCCAAAUCGAUGGGUGCCUUCUCAUCUACUCCUGUCUCCAUGACCACAAAGUAACCUAGGACAUACGGUUGCCCCACUCUAAUGACAACUUCUUCUAGUACUCUCUCAGGGUAGCAAAUGGACUGAUAUGCAAGCUUAGGCAUGAUGUUGACACUUGCGCCAAAAUCGCAGAUAGUCUCUGGAAAGUUGUGGCAUCCUAUAGAGAUAGGAACGACAGGUCUUCCAGGGUCUCCCAUCUUCUCUGGUAGAGAGUGGUCAAUCCACUGUACAUCUGCAGGCUCAAUAUGAUAUUGGGUUGCAUUGUGAAUGUCAACAAGGUUAGCAGUUUCUAAAUCUUCUGGUUGGCCUGGAAUCUUGCCUUUUUCUAAUGGAGGAACAGCAGCAACUAAUUGUGAUUCGAGCAUUUUAUUGAAACUAUGCUGAUUCUUUAUGGCAGAAGCAAAAGUAUCCAUUCUAGUAUGUAUGUUUUUCAAAGUUUUAUCAUUUGAUGUUAGUUUCCUAGUCAUUUGAUCUAGUAGUUUGGAUUGACUAGUAACUAAUUCUCUCAAAGGCGGAAGGUUAAAAUUAUUAGAAUUAUUACCUUGGUUGUUAUCUUGGUAAUUACCUUAUCGGGGUUGUUGGUUCCACCCUUGAUUGUUGAGGACAAUAGUAGGUAUUGUUGUUGAUGAAGCUCACAUCCUCUUGUAGCGUAGGGCAACUGACAGCUGAGUGCCCGUAGUCUCCACAUUCUUCACAUGUCAUAUAGGAAUCAUUGAUGUGCAUGACUUCCUUCUUCUCUAUGUCGAGCUUCUUCAUGAUGAGGUCUAGCUUGGCAGUGACCAUGUCAGCUUCCUUGAGAUGAUGGAUUCCUCCUCCUUUCUUCCGAGGUUGAGUACGUUCUUCAUUGCAUGUUGAAUUGGAGGCCAUCUUCUCCAAGUGCUUUCGCGUCUGAGAGCUUAAGUGACAGGAAAGCUCCCCCGGCUACAACAUCAAUAAACUCACAGGUACUAGAGAUGAGCCCAUGAUAGAAAGUCUGCAUUAACAGCCACUCCUCUAUCCCAUGAUGAGGAUAGUCUUCAAUGUAAUUUUAGAAUCUUUCCCAUGCUUCAGUGAAUGAUUGAUCAUGUUGUUGUUGGAAACUUACAAUCUUCCCACACAGAGCAUUUGUCUUGGCUGUACGAAAGAAUUUUGCUAGGAAAGCAGUCGAGCAUAGGUCCCAUGUAUUAUGUUUGUCUUCACCUAAAUGCUCUUAUGUUUGUUCUUCUACUUGUUCUUCAAACUCUUCUUCUAAUGUUGGAGUUGGCUCCUCUAAAGAGCUAGCUUGAGCAGAAGAGGGUGUUCUUGAUGGUGACUCAAAUUUAUCCCUUGCUUCAACAAACUUCUUCUUUCUAAGGAGUUUCUCUAGAUCUUCAGUAAAGUUUUUUGGAAGAGAAAAACCAUUUAUUCAUCACCCAACAUAAGAUAAGAAAAUGAUAACGACGAAGGGUGUACCUAAUUGAGUUAGAAAUCGAUUGGUAAUAUGACUUUAUCCAUGUGUAUAUAUGUUAUCAAUAUAUCCUAAGUUUAUUGUGCCUUCUAUUGAUGGUCCUUAAAUACCAAAUAUAAUUAGUAAAUAAAUAGAGAAAAGGAUCCAAAUGUAACCAACACCCAGACUUAGGGUUUUAUCUGACAGAAUUCCACGAGUUUUGGUGUUUGUCUAUUUUUGUAGGGGGUUAUUAGGAAAUAUGGAGGAAAGGCCCACACGUCGGGAUUACAUAGAGAUAUUAACGUGCACUGCGAUUAUCCAACAUCUAGAAGAGUCCAGAAGCCACAGAAACGAGCGGGAGGGCGAGCGGGCCCGGGGCAGGGUGCCCGCCCUCCCCCCUUGGGUGCUCGCCCUGGCCUGAGAGCCAAUCAGGCUCCGCCUCGCAGAUCAUGCUCCACCGACCUAAGAGAUUAAGAAAAACCGUGCGAUUAAGGUCGGUUUGAUCCGACGGUCCAUAUUCAUUUGGAGGGACUAUAUAAGCAGCCCCCCUGGCCCCUAGAGAGGAGGACCUGAGAAGCCCUAAUUCAUUCAUUCAUCUCGGGAGAAGAAGUCUUUGAUCAAGCCCUCGAGCCACCACAUCAACUAGAUCUCUAGUUUAGCAUAGCUACAUAGGAUUAGAACUAGAAGGAGUCAAUCUUCGAUUGGUUUCCAUAUCUGUCAAGAGGAUUCUUGGUAAUUCCUCUACUGUUCUUCAUUUUUUCAUCAUUGUUCUUCAAUAUUAUGAAUAUGACUUUGUUCUACUUCAAUAUAUUGAUUAUGACUUUGCUCUACUUGUUUAUAUUCGCAAUUAUAUCGUCCUUAGUUUGUCAUAGUUAUAUGCUUGGCUUAGUUAGAUUGGAUUUAUAUACAUGUUUAGGAUCAUAUAGCGUUUAUCCAUGUGUACAGUGGGUAAACGAUAAGUAUUGUGUAGGCGUGGUGUCUAUACCGUAUUUAUCUGCGAUUGUAUCCUAUAUGCCGAAUCGCGGGGUAGUUCGUGGUGGUGACAGCUCCUUUGAUUCUUAUAUAGUCCCCCUCUCGUGUAUAGGGUAGGCAGAACAACAUUAUUACAGGGGAGUGAUUGCUAUGUUUCUCAUUUUCCUUGAUAAUAUCACUAUGCAUGGGCGUAGUCAUGUCUCGCAAUGAUUGACAAGUAUAAUUGCACUAACUAUGAUAUGCUAGACUUUAUAGUUAAGAAUAACUUAGGAAAUAUUCUUGUAGUUCAUCCUAAUUCCAUGCUAAUGACUUGUGUUGACACUUGCUAACACCACUUGAAUACUAGGUUGUCAUCCCCAGCAUGGCACUAGAGUGUACUAUGGUAUUUAUACGCACACAGAUAAAUCCGCAAGCGCACGGAUACUGUUGUAGCUUUUACCCGGUUAAAGGUUUUAUCGUAUCCACAGGGAAACGGAAGAACCAACUACGCUCUAACUUAACCAAGAUAGAUAGAUAGGUGUAAAUAGGAAAGAUGGUAGAAUUGAAUAAGAACAAUAUUAAAGGUAAAAUGAUAAUGGAGGAAUAUAGAGUAGAGCAAUCUAAUAUAUGGGUGAUAAUAGGAGAAUAGAGAGAAUAACUAUGGUUUCUCUACUUCAAAAGGGUAUGUGAUAUGACCAUGCCACCAAGCAAGAUGUCACAAGCUUCAAGUCAAUCUACAUCCACUCAAGUUUCACCUACACCGACACCAGCCCAAGUCAUCGAUGGACCGAUUACACGUAGUCGUGCAAAUAAGCUACAACAAGAGGUAUAUAGAAGAAGAGAAGGAUAAAUCGGACCUGAAGAACAGACCAGUGCAAGUUCCAGAAGAAGCCAAAAACGGACCAGUGGAAGCCAAAAACGGACUAGUGUAAAGAAAUCUUCAUAACUUUUUAGUCACAAAAGCUAGGAAGGUCUAUGAGGACUUGUUGGAAAUCUUGUCGAGUCUACUUUCUAAUAAAUCUAGUGGCGACCAGUUUGGAUACACCAUAUUGCCUGCAGACCAGAAUUAGUAUAGACUGCUCAGAAGGUUAAUAGUCUGUCAUGACAGAAUGUUGGUACAACUUGCCAAGUAAAACUGUACCAAUCUACAAUGUUUCGAUGGAAAGCCCUUUGAGUCUAGUUUCACACCCAAGAAACGGUUCAUCAUUUGGACUUCCCAAUAAGAAGUUAUGGUCAGUUUAUUGGAAACUGCUCUGGAGGCCAACAGUCACGCGAAGCCACUUCAGGAAUCCAUUCCGAGGGGACCUUUCACAUUGCCUUCCCUCAGAAACUCUAUUUUGUUUUCAUACCUAUCUAGCAGGGCUGUUGCUAGUAUAAAUACUCCCUAAGACUCAUUGUAAUCUAUGACUUUUGAUGAUUGAAAUACAGAACCCCUUUGUUCAGCUGCGUGCUAACAAAUCUAGAGAGUGAUCUCUACCCCUUUGCUCUUGUGAUUUCCUCGUGGGAUUACAUAGGCGGUGGCUUCAUCCGCUCCCAAUUGGUGCUCCUACUCCCUUCAAGGUAUUCCUUGAUUGAUUGUAGGCUAUGUUGGUUGGUUUCUUGAGAGUGUGGUUGGGCGAAUCCUCGAUUCAGGUUGCCAGUUAAAGACGGUGGUUGGCUUCGAGUUUUAUUUGCCAGGUUACACUAGUUAUCGCUGCUUGCUGCAAGUUAUCCGGCUGUUCUUCAGCUAGUUAUCGGUGUUCAUCCUAUGUCGUGAAGAUCGGGACAACGUGACACAUCAUCUGAUAUCAAAGCUUUCGUUACCACAGUAGGAAUUUUAUCCCUAGCUACAUAUAUAUUUUUGCUUUGUCCUAUCCACCAAAAAGCCAGAAAAAUAUAUUGCUUAGACCUUUGUUUCAAUCUGUUAUUUUAGUGAGUUCGGUUACGUCGCAGUCCAUUAGAGUCUUUGUUUUAGUUGCUGAUCAUUUAUCCUUCGCGUGUUCUUUGUGCCUCUUUUAUAUCUAAAAAUCCCCACAAAAAAAUCUAUAUAGCCUAUAUCAUUCUUUGUGUUAUCCUUGAUCCUAUCAAAUUAUAGUUUCUGGUUGUGCUUUGUUUCUAUCAUCAAGUUUGCAAGUAUUAUAUCUGAUCACUGUGUUUAGUUCUAUAUAAAAAAAGUGUGUCAAAAAAGAAAAGAAAGUGCAAAAAAAAAGUGAAGUAAAAAAAGGUAGAGAAAGGUUCAGAGAGAAAGUGUGAAAGAUUAGUUGGUUUAUGUGCACAAGUGCUGAAAGUUUCAUAUCAAGUUCUGCAACCAGUUUGCUAUCUUUGUUUGGUGCAAUAUUUUGGUUGGGUCUGAUUGCAACACUUGCAGCCCAAUCAUACUCCUUGUUUGCAUCAAAUCUGAAUUUUCUUUGUGCGUGUGUGUGAUCAUUUACUUCUUUCAUAUCUUGUGGUCAGCGCUAGGCAGAGAACUUCUAGUUUGGAUCGUUACUUAACUUUACAACAACUAGAAUUUAGAUUGCAUUUCUUGUGUAUUACUUCCCACCAAGCUCCACAUAAAAACCAUCGUAAUCAGUACUCUCUGUUCUUGUAUUCGCCUCGCCAUCACUUUCAGUUGCCACCACACAUUUGUUUUCCUUGUAAUCUGCAGCAGAGGAAUUCAUAAGAGCUUCGGUGGUUAGAGAGGUGAGUUGUGAGAGCCACCAAAUUUUCAUAUUCCACAAAUACAAAUUAUUUGUAUUCAGCUAACCUUACAGGAAGAUGGGUCAAGUGGACAUCAAAGAUCGUGUUUCCAUAGCACAAUUUAAUAAACUCCGACAAAGCAUAGAAGAAAAGCAAGAUAGGUUGACACAAGAUCUUCAGAAUCUUAUGACUGAAAUCAAAAGGCAUCGUCCACCUCAUGAUGGUGCAAGCAACCAUAGUGGAGAUAGAGAAGAUAGUGAUGGAAGAAGAGGAGGUCGGAGGAACCGGAGGGCUGCACAUGGUAAAGGAAGAAGACAUAGUCGAAGAAAUGAUGAUGAAUCUGAAGCUGAGGCUGAUGACAACCGCUUCCAACUCAGUUUUGGUCGCUGAUGUCAUAGAAGAGGCAACCAUGAAGAAAAUUUUGGCAAACUGAAAUUUACCAUGCCAAAAAUUGCUGCUGAACCAUCCCCGAGGAAUUUCUCUGGAGGAAGCAAAUCACACACAAAAUUUGCUGCUGAACCGUCCAUGGUGAAAAGCUCAAGUGGAGGCUCCCGAUCUAAUUUUUAUGGUACUUUUAGUGGAAAGAACACUGCUGUCCAUGGUGAAACAUUCUUUGUAGCCUAAAGGGUAGUAGCAAUAGAUUUAGUUAGUCAGAUGCACGCUUUCUCCCAGUGGUAAAAAUAUAAAUACGAUACUCUGGAUAACCUCCUGGGUGAAGUGCUCACCGAUAUCCGUGCGCUUGCGGAUCAUUUCCUGAUGGCGUUAACAAAUAUCAACAAGCAUUUCUGGCGCCGUUGCCGGGGAGAAAGACGGUUUGCUGAGAUAACUUUAAGUCUUGUUAUUAUCUUGUAUUAUACUUUUAUACUUUUAUUCUUUUAUCUUUUUAUUUUUUCCAUCUUUAUGGAUAACUUAAAUUCCACAACUAUUAUUGAAUUCUUUGCACCUUCGGAGACCAGCCAUAGACCAUGGGAGUCAACAAGUCCUGCCCCUAAUUAUGAUCUGUGUCCUGAGUUGAUUGCAAUAGGUCAAAACCAACCCUUUUCUAUAGCCGAGGUCCUAUCUUUUAAUCAAGAAGAUAAUGAACUUUUAGCUACACCUAGGGAAUCUUUUAAUCUUUUUAUAAAUUCUGGUUUAAACCUAGCCCUACAAGACCAUGUUUUUCCUCGAUAUUUUCACAUUGGUCUUAAUCAUAUAACCUUUGGUAGAGUUUUUCUUUCUUUAUCUAUUAGUAAAGGAAGGUAUGUCUUCAUUCAUGGACAUCCUUCUUGCACUAGUCUUCACAAAAAAUUCCUAGAGAUAGAGAAGGAAUCAUCUCCCAUACAAGGAAAGGAAGUUUCAAUAGCCGAUUUCCAAACAUUUCAAUCCCAUGAUUCAGCUAUCCAUCCCAUCCUUGAGCUUAAUAAUUUCUACUAUGCUCUUUCUCUUGAACCUCCCGAUAAUCCUAUGAAUCUCUCUAGACAUCCCAUGCAUAAGAGUCACCAAGAACACAAGAAGGAUCGAGAAGAGCAACAUCAAUGGCUAGAGGGCAUUAAAAAUCCAUGUGCUAUCACCAUUGAAUGGAUGGAUAAAACAAACUUGAGAGACAAUUCUAGAGGAAUUUUAAGCAUUCGUGAAAAAUCAUCCUUGGAGUUUGAGAAUAAGAGAAACAAUAGUGAGCAUGGAAGUUAUUUCAUGAACACCUCACCAAGUCCUUGCUCAUAUAAAACAUCUCCCCAAUCAACUGGUCUCUCCAACCUUACCACAUUUGAGAUCUCCAACCCCCUCUUCCUUUUUAUUUAUAAAAACUUUAAAAGGGUGGUUGUCGAUAUAUAUGUCUAUAAUAAAUAUUGCAGAUCUCGUUGAGUUGAUCUUGAUAUAGGUCAGCGUUGGAGGGGAAACCACUUCACCGGCAUAAAUUGAUGGUUUCCCAGGGACAAGCUUAGUGUCCUAAAACAAGCACUUAUCAGAUCGUAACAUGAAUUUCUAAUUACUUGCAACAUUACCUAGUGUGUUGAGCAUAUAAAGAUAAUUGUAGAAAUAUUCCUUCGGGUAUUCUUGUCACUAACCUUUCCAGGAUUGGAACAAGAAGAUCGGAUGAAUGACAAGCACAAGUUAUGUCUAACCAAUCGUCAUGCAACAUUGAAUUAAAUUCAUCUAAACUUGAAUUUUGCAAAAUUCAAGCUUGGGGGAGUAUUUUACAUAAAAACAUCCUUUGCCAUGUUGCUAUGUUGGUUGUCCCUACCUUUGAGACAUGCUCAAUUUGUUAAAUACUAAUCACGCUACUUCAUCUCCACUUCAGUAGAUCUCUAUAAAUGCUCUCAUGCUACCUUUAUUUGCUUUAGUAUAUGUCUAGGUUUGGAGUAGUUUCAUUUAUCUCUUAAUUCAGCAUGGUGCUUAGUUUAGGAAUGAUGAUCUUACUUCCAAGGGAUUUUGAAUUAAGCAUGGUGCUUAGGUUAAAAUGCCUUUCUAAAUCAAAUUAGACAUGGUGUCUAGGUUGAUUUUUGUGACGAUAGUAUGCUAUAGUAGAUAUUGGAUAUUUUGUUAAGGAAGGCAUAGCUCACAAGAGAUGAUCCAUGGAGGGUGCCACAAACACGAUGCACAACCGCUAAGAAAGGAAAGCUUCCACAAGGUGAUACUGUAUCAUCACUCUUCAAGUAAGGUAACAUCUUAAGGUACUUGACUAUCUCUUUUAUAAGCUUAUCCUUGAUUCUGGCGUUCACAUAAAACAAAGAAACAGACAUGUAUGAUUUAUAACUCCAAAUUAACCAACCCAACUGAUUCAGCAUGGUUAGUCCUUUAAUCUUUGUUCCUAGUACUACCUCCAUGAUCCUACACUCCUAAUCAUAUAAGCUAAAAUAUUGCACAUUCAAUCUUUGGAAGAUAAAAAAAAUAAACAAAACAUAAAAUAUAGAUAGAUUAUCUUUCCAUUAGGUUAAGCCAUCUGAUCUGACAAAUGUUUUAAAUGCUACACUCAUGAUCUUAUUAUCCAUCAACUUUGUCUUGCUCACUAUGCUUAAGGUUAGAGAAGAACAAAUACACUUUUGGUUCUGUUGGUGUUUUUCACCAACAGGGCCCAUGCACUUGAUCCCUGCCUUGUCUCUAUGAGUAGGUACACUUCGAGCAAAACCUGAAGGAGUUUUACAACUCCCAGACUCCACCAAGUGAAGGGCUUGGAUCUACGAGCACAAACACACAAGAGAUACUAGACACUCAGGCAAUCACUGCCCUGAGAUGCUUGAGGACGUAAACUAUAUCAACAACAACAACUACUACAACCGUCCUCAACAAAAUCAAGGUUGGAAUCAACACUGGCCUAACUACUCAGAGAGGCGAUCCAGGACGCCCCGUCAUCCCGAUCUCCAUCGGCAUGAUGGACUUCCCAGAACCACUCUGCAACUUUGGCUCCAACGUCAACAUUAUGCCCAGGGUUGCAGAUCGGACACUAAAGUUUCCCAAAGGGAAUAUUGAAGAACCUCUGCGUCCGAGUUGGUACCUUGUAUGCCCCAGUGCUACCAAGAUUAGUCUCUACAUCAAGGGGAGGAAGGACGUUUUCCUUCAAGAACAAGACUACACAAAUCUCAGAGCAAUCCCGACAUGAACCAAGGAAGAGGACCAACAGGAGGAACAGGAACAAGCAAAUUCAGACCGAGUCAGCUAAGAUGGUCACUACAGUUCAAGGAGGUCAAGAUCGUCGACUUAAGUCACCGUUUCUGACCAAAAAGGAUGACCCAGCUCCAGAUGGCAGAUCAGACAUUCCAAAAGGUUGAAGGUUAUUGACAUGGGAGAAGACGAGUAUGAUACACCCAUCAUCCUGGAGAGACCGUUCCUCGGCACCGUUAAAGCAAUCAUCUACAUUGGAACCGGAGAGGCCCACAUGCACUUCCCCUCUCAGAAGGUACGCCGCUAUUUUACUGACCUUAACUAUAUAGUUGAAGACUCUAAGCAGGUCAGGACAAGAAGAAGACGACGCAACCGCAACCAGAUGAGGCAAAUCAUCAAGGACGGAUAGGCAGACUACGAAGGAGAAGUGAUAAGGUCUGAAGACAUACAGCUUGAACAGAACUAUCCUGAGGAGACUGUAGCACCGAGUUAGGAAGAGAAGAUAGUUAUACACGAAGAAGAGGCGCCGCCGGAACCACCGACUACGCCAUCCAAUGAAUCUCAUGACGACUAAGAAAAUGGAGAGUUCCAUUCGGAGGACUUAAAAACACCGAAUGUCUUGCCAAAAGGUAAACUUGGUAGUUAUCCUUUUCCUUUCAAUUAUUCAAUUAUAGUUCGCUUAGUUAAUCACGUUCAUGCUAUCUUGAAAAGAAAAUAAAAAUGUUAAAAAUAGUAAGCCCCAUGUGAGUAUGCUCAUGGCAUAAAACCCAUAAGUACAUUCACUGUGCUCACAUAAAAAUAUUCUUGUCCUGUAAAAAUGAGAAUAUAAAAAUAAAUUUAUGAUCCUACCAAAGAGAGUAAUAUUUAUUAGAGGAAGCUCAAUAUGAUAAAGGCAAAGAGAUUUUAUGCUAACACUUAACCAGUUCCACAAAGCUUUGUUGUCAAUUUGAGCUCCACAGAAUUCAAGGAUCAAAGAAGACUAGCAGACGGAGGACAUCCUAAUCGCUGUCAGGGUGCUGCCGACAUUCAAAUACACCUCUGUCACCUGCUAGCUACAUCAGAAGAAAUUACGUCAAAAUCCAGCUUGGGGGAGAGCACCCCCAUUUAUCCAGCUAAGUAUUUCUACUCACGUUUAUACUUUACUCAAAUAAUAAAAAGAUGCAUAAUCAUGAAAACCUAAAUAAAAAUUCCAUGCUUAUAUUUUUGCUUAGUUUGCUAAAUAAAUAAAUAAAUAAAGUUUGAUAUGAACCCUCAUGAUAAGCUCUCACAUGGAAAUGAUAAAUAGUUGCUCUGCUAUGUACCUAGUUUUCAAGCUUGAGCUCUCUCUCAAGUUUAGGCAUAACUGUUAUAAUUUAAACCUGCUCUAAACCUGAACUUGUGGGAAGAGUACUUGAUCUGAAGUCUAAGUUGUUAACGGAUAUGAUAUGGGAAGGUUAAGCUGUUGUUUAUCUGUUCCUAGAGAUGCUAGAAUUCUGGAGAAUUUUAUCUUUGAAAAUCUUUAAAAUAACACAUGAUGAGUUCCUGUAUGAUGAGAGUUUAAAAUCCUGCCACAACCAUAUAUACAUGCUUAUUAGGCUAUGAACCAUACAUUUACUUUUUACUACUUAUGAGCAUUGAGUGUGGUCAAGCUGUGUAGACCCUUAGGAGCUUGUCAUGCGGGUAAAAUCAAGAUCCACUUGCACGUUCACUCACACAUGCUGCUUCUACUCCGGAAGUACGCAUCCACAUAUAUCCACUCAUUUCCAUCUCUAGAUUCACCCAAAAUUAUUCUACUCCUAAUCCGAGAGAGAAUAGCCAAAAACAUUUCCCUAUUUCUGUUUUUCCCUAUGAAAUAAAUGCUCAAGAUAUUUUGGUUACUACCACUUGCUACAUUAUUCCAGGAGGGUGAGUGCUCUGACAAAAAAGAGAAAAAAAGUUAAUACGAGGAAAUAAAAAGGGGCAAGUGCCCGAAACCUCGAAGAAAAGAAAAAGUGUGACGAGAGGUAAAAAUGGACAAGUGUCCGAUAGUAGAAUUAGGGGUACAAGAUACCCACCUGAGAGAAAAAGAAAAAGAAAAAUAUAGAGCAUCUCAUUCUCCUCAAAAAGCUUCAAAGUGCAAGAAAGGUAUGUAUCCCCUAAAAAAAGCAAAAGUAGAAUUAGACUUUCACCAUUGUUAUCACCAUCAUCAGCAUACAGCAUUCACUCGCCACAUAUGCAUAUCUUGAUUUGACUUAUUGACUUGUUCUUCUGGAUCCAUGGUUUGACUAUACAAUAAAUGUCUUGUAAGUAUGUAUUAUCUGUCUCCCACCUAUGGGCUCCAAAUAUCAAAACCUUAUUAGAGUAGGGUGAGAGAGAAGGCAAUAUCACUAUGCCUCAUACCAAAAAAUACCACACACUUUGAGAGAUGGCAUAUACCAUUACUGCCUUGGAAAGGAUCCAGAAAUACCACAAAAGAGAGAUUUGAGAGAGUCAUACAAGGAGUCUCUUAGUUUUAAUUGAAAAUCUGCAAAAACUCCAGAGCUAUAGCUGAUCAAGAAUAAGAGACAUGGCGCUUGACAUGACCGUUCUAUUUUUUAACUGCUCAAGACACAAGUGAUGUUUGCAAGCCCCAUGGUGAAAGGUAAAAUGAGUAAGUUUUAAGUCUUAACAGUUUACUCUAACUCAGAGAUGAGAUCUUGCUUGAAUGCAUGUGUACUUUUACGACAUGAAACCACUGCAGAAACUCUUGAGUCCAUCCUUGCUCAGGGACGAGCAAGACGUAAGCUUGGGGGAGUUGUUGACGGUCCUUAAGUACCAAAUAUAAUCAUCAAAUAAAAAAAAGAAAAGUAUCCAAAUGCAACCAACACCCAGACUUAGGGUUUUAUCUGACAGAAUUUCAUGAGUUUUUAUGUUUGUCUAUUUCUGUAGGGGGUUAUCAGGAAAUAUGGAAGAAAGGCCCACACGUCGGGUUUACAUAGAGAUAUUAACGUGCCGCGUAAUUUUCUACCAUCUGGAAGACUCUAGAAGCCAUGGGAAUGAACGGGAAGGUGAUCGGGUCCGGGGGCAGGGCGCCCGCCCUCCCCCUAGGGCGCCCGCCCUAAGGUAGAGUCCAAACAGGACCCGUCUCGCGGAUUACGCUCCACCGACCUAAAGGAUCAAGGAUAACCGUUCAAUCAAUGUUGGUUUUAUCCGACGGCCCACGUUCACCUGAGGGGACUAUAUAAGCAGACCCCCUGGCCCCUGGAGGAGAACAAGUUCAUCAUAGAGUUGCGAGGAGCCCUCGAAGGAUAACCUCUCCUCUAAAUAGACUUAGGGCUUAGCAUCCAAUGUGAGAGUAGAAUUAGUUCUUCUAAGUUCUACUAGAUUGAGAGAGAUAGAGUGGAGGUGUAGAUCGGAGGAAGCCCGGCCUGUCGGUGUCUACUCUGAGGUUGUACCUGCGGGAUCAAGUUCUCCUAACCCGAGGCUUGCUCCUAGGAUUCUUCAGUAAUUCGACUUCUAAAUUCUAGUAAGUUCUUGUUUUAUUGUUCUUUGGUUUAUGAGUUUACUUUAAUCUCUUCCGGUUGAGUUUAGAGUAAUCAUUGCUAGCGUAAACGUGGUGUUUGGGCUAGGGUACUCAUAGAUAUCCCCUGACUAGCUAGAUCGUGGUAGUAGCGAGGAACGUGACAUUUCCGAGUUACCUUUGCAGCCCACAUCUUGUUAGCAGGAUGGGUAGGGUUUAUAGGUGCGGGUCGAACAUUCUUUGUGGUGUCUAGAUUCCGUGAGCCUCCCCAAUAGAACAGUAGAUCAUCCUUACCAAGGUUUGAACGAGACUACGGUUGUAGUCUUCUCUAUACAUCGCUCACAUCGAGAAACAUUCUUUGUAGCCUAAAGGGUAGUAGCAAUAGAUUUGGUUAGUCAGAUGCACGCUUUCUCCUAGUGGUAAAAAUAUAAAUACGAUACUCUGGAUAACCUCCCGGGUGAAGUGCUCACCGAUAUCCGUGCACUUGCGGAUCAUUUCCUGAUGGCGUUAACAAAUAUCAACAUAUAGUAACUGAUGUCCCUGUCAAAAUAGACGAUCAUUUUGUCCAUACAGAUUUUCAGGUUAUUGACAUGGGAGAAGACGAGUACGAUCCACCCAUCAUCCUUGGGAGACCGUUCCUCAGCACCGUUAAAGCGAUCAUCUACAUUGGAACCGGAGAGGUCCAUAUGCACUUCCCCUCUGAGAAGGUACGCCGCUAUUUUACUGACCCUAAUUAUAUAGUUGAAAACUUUAAGCAGGUCAGGACAAGAAGAAGACGACGCAACCGCAACCAGAGGAGGCAAAUCAUCAACGACGGAUGGGCAGACUACGAAGGAGAAGUAGUAAGGUCUAAAAACAUACAGCUUGAACAGAACUAUCCUAAGGAGACCAUGGCACCGAGUCAGGUGUGGAGAGAGAAGAUAGUUAUACGCGAAGAGGAGGCGCCGCCGGAACCACCGACUACGCCAUCUAGCAAAUCCCAGGUCGAUUGAGAAAACAAAGAGUCCCGUUCGGAGGACUUAAAAACACCGAACGCCUUGCCAAGAGGUAAACUUGGUAGUUAUCCCUUUGCUUUCAAAUCAUUUACUUUUUCUUAAAAAUAGCUAGUUCAAGUUAAUCAGGUUCAUAUCAUCUUAAAAAGAAAAAUAAAAAUGUUAAAACCAGUAAAGCCCUAUGUGAGUAUACAAGUGGCAUAAAACCCAUAAGUACAUUCAGUGUGGUGGCAUAAAAAAAUAAUAAUAAAAAUAUUGUUCUGCUCUAUAAAAAUAUAAAACAUAAAAUUGUGAUCCUACUAAAUAAAGUAGCAUUUAUUGAGGAGGCUCAACAUGAUAAAGGCUAGAUAUUUAUGCUAACACUUAAUCAGUUCCAGAAAGCUUUGUUGUCUAUUUGAGCUCCACAGAAUUUAAGGAUCAAGAAGACUAGUAGACGGAGGACAUUCUAAUCGCUGUCAGAGUACUGCCGACAUUCAAAUACACCUCUGCCACCUGCUAGCUACAUCAGAAGAAAUUACAUCAAAAUUCAACUUGGGGGAGAGCACCCCCAGCUAUUCCGCUAAGUAUUUCUAUCUUCAUUUAUACUUAUACUAUAUUAAAAUAAAAAAUAUAUAACCAUGAAAAAACCAAAUAAAGAUUUUGUGCUUAUAUAUAUAUAUCGGUUGCUUAGUGUGCUUAAUAAAUAAAUGAAGUGGCUAUGCUAAACUGAAUCUUAAUAAAACUCUAGCAUGGAUACUAUGAAUAGUUGCUCUACCUAAUUUUCAAAUUUGGAGUUCUCUCUCUAGUUUAGACAUAAUUAUUAUAAUUUAAAGCUUGCUCUAAACCUGAACUUGUGGGAAGAGAACUUGAUCUAAAGUCUAAGUUGUUAACGGAUAUGAUAUGGGAGGGUUGAGCUGUUGUUUAUCUAUUCCUAGAGAUGCUAGAAUUUUGGAGAAUUUUAUCUUUUUAAAAUAUCACAUGAUGAGUUCCUGAAUGAUGAGAGUUUAAAUUCCUACCACAGCCAUAUAUACAUGCUUGCUAGACUUUGAGCCACACAUUUACUUUUUACUGCUUAUGAGCAUUGAGUGUGGUCAAGCUGUGUAGACCCUUAUGAGCUUGUCAUGCAGUUAAAAUCAAGAUUCACUUGCACGUUCACUCACACAUGCAGCUUCUACUCCGAAAGUACGCAUCCACAUAUAUCCACUCAUUUCCAUCUCCAGAACCACCCAAAAGUAUUCUACUCCUAAUCCGGGAGAGAAUAGCCAAAAACAUUCUCCUAUUUCUGUUUUUCCUGUGAAUUAAAUGCUCGAGUUAUCUUGGUUACUACCACUUGCUAUAUUAUUUCAGGAGAUGACUGCUCUAAAAAAAGAAAAAGGAUACGAGGAAAUAGAAAGGGGCAUGUGCUCGGAACCUCAAAAAAAGUGAGACGAGAGGUAAAAAUGGACAAGUUUCCGACAGUAGAAUUAGGGGUACAAGAUACCCACCUCAGAGGAAAGAAAAAGAAAAUAUAGAGCAUCUCAUUCUCCUCAAAAAGUUUCAAAAGAGCAAGAACGGUAUGUAUUCCCUCAAAAGAGCAAAAAGUAGAAUUAGACUUUCACCAUUGUUAUCACCAUCAUCACCAUACACCAUUCAUUCCCCACACAUGCACAUCUUGAUUUGACUUAUUAACCUCUUUCUCUGGAUCCAUGGCUUGACUAUGCAAUAAAUGUCUUGUAAGUAUGUAUACUUCAUCUCCCACCUAUGAGCUCCAGAUAUCAAAAGGCUUAUUAAAGUAGGGUGGAGAGAGAAGGCAAGUUUACUAUGCUUUGAGAGAAGGCAUAUACCAUCGCUGCCUUGGUAAGGAUCCAGAAAUACCACAAAAGAGAGAUCUGAGAGAGUCAUACAAGGAAUCUCUGAGUUUUAUUUGAAAAUCUACAAAAAAACUCCAGAGCUAUAGCUCAUCA
This 40550-nucleotide long non-coding RNA is filed under the name Sorghum bicolor (sorghum). Its description in RNAcentral is "long non-coding RNA (SBIC_LNC013947)". The stretch from base 10763 to 10869 matches the Rfam family "Plant small nucleolar RNA R71". Lineage: Eukaryota; Viridiplantae; Streptophyta; Magnoliopsida; Poales; Poaceae. The record is from RNAcentral.